Molecule: non-coding RNA, 799 nt
Organism: Paramuricea clavata
Lineage: Eukaryota; Metazoa; Cnidaria; Anthozoa; Malacalcyonacea; Plexauridae
Source: the annotation of a GenBank genome assembly
AAUGACUGUAUAUUGAUAUUCAAUAUACUUAGCUAAUAUAUGCACCCUUUUAUUGUUAACCCUUUGAGCAGCAAUGUGCCCAAGUGCACCCUACUUUGUUAUGUUGCACUUAACUAACACCAGACAUUUUACUUUGUGAAAUGCCAGACAAUUUUACUCCUCAAGAGCAGUGUCCUGCUCACUAAUGGUUAUCCAAACUAUCUGCCAAUGUGCCUUGAUAACCCAUUAGGCCGAAAUGCACCCAAAUGGACCCGCCUUUGUUAUUUUACUCUGUCAAACGCCGGACAAUUUUAGUCAUCAAGAAGAGAGUCCUGCGUGCUAGUGGGUUAAAUGACUUAAUUACAUAUGUUAUAUAUAAACUUAAGCUGUUACAUUGUCCCAUUGUAUAUUAUUUUUUUACUUAUCUUGACACAGGCUUGUAUGUUGGAUUGAUACGACUACCUGUAAAUAUGGUUAAACUUGGCUAUGUGAUUCAAAGGUUGUGGUUCACCGAGCGAUAAAGAAAAUGAUACAAAGAUGGAAUGAUUGGAUGCAAGUUAUCAGUUACAGUGUUUCAUAUGACAGGUAUUCUGAUUGUGGAAGAUGUGGGCUUGCAAUAUUUUGACAAUUGCAUGGCUGUAAAGUACGAGACAAUUAAUAUAGUACUCCAUUACUCUAAUUGCCAGAACACUGCAUCAGAAUGAGAAGUUGUCUGUUACAGUUAGGUUUAGUAAAAGUAUAGUAAAAGUACAUAGUCAACUAUGUAAAAUGUAAUUUAUUCAGUGUCAAAUAAAUAUUUUGUCAUGGAUAAACUCUGUGC